This 71-nucleotide transfer RNA is filed under the name Stegodyphus mimosarum. It matches the Rfam family "tRNA". Rfam says of the family: Transfer RNA (tRNA) molecules are approximately 80 nucleotides in length. Lineage: Eukaryota; Metazoa; Arthropoda; Arachnida; Araneae; Eresidae. The record is from Rfam by way of RNAcentral.
GUCUCCGUAGUGUAAUGGUAGCACACUCGGCGCGUAUUCUAGAGGUCCAGGUUCGACUCCUGGCGAAAGCA